GGGUGUAUAGCUCAGUUGGCUAGAGCGUUACGUUGACAUCGUAGAGGUCGGUGGUUCGAGCCCACUUACACCCACCA
Molecule: transfer RNA, 77 nt
Filed under: bacterium
Lineage: Bacteria
Also listed under: 2 other names
Description: tRNA-Val
Rfam family: tRNA
About the family: Transfer RNA (tRNA) molecules are approximately 80 nucleotides in length. Their secondary structure includes four short double-helical elements and three loops (D, anti-codon, and T loops).
Source: RNAcentral